GACGAACGCUGGCGGCGUGCCUAAUACAUGCAAGUAGAACGCUGAAGAGAGGAGCUUGCUCUUCUUGGAUGAGUUGCGAACGGGUGAGUAACGCGUAGGUAACCUGCCUUGUAGCGGGGGAUAACUAUUGGAAACGAUAGCUAAUACCGCAUAACAAUGGAUGACCCAUGUCAUUUAUUUGAAAGGGGCAAAUGCUCCACUACAAGAUGGACCUGCGUUGUAUUAGCUAGUAGGUGAGGUAACGGCUCACCUAGGCGACGAUACAUAGCCGACCUGAGAGGGUGAUCGGUCACACUGGGACUGAGACACGGCCCAGAUUCCUACGGGAGGCAGCAGUAGGGAAUCUUCGGCAAUGGGGGCAACCCUGACCGAGCAACGCCGCGUGAGUGAAGAAGGUUUUCGGAUCGUAAAGCUCUGUUGUAAGUCAAGAACGAGUGUGAGAGUGGAAAGUUCACACUGUGACGGUAGCUGACCAGAAAGGGACGGCUAACUACGUG
RNAcentral lists this ribosomal RNA (497 nucleotides) under uncultured bacterium. RNAcentral's name for it is "partial 16S ribosomal RNA". It matches the Rfam family "Bacterial small subunit ribosomal RNA", at positions 28 to 507 of the family's 1533-position model. The record is from RNAcentral.